RNAcentral lists this unclassified non-coding RNA (217 nucleotides) under soil metagenome. Its description in RNAcentral is "partial contains 5.8S ribosomal RNA, internal transcribed spacer 2, and large subunit ribosomal RNA". The record is from RNAcentral.
AACCAUUCUCACCUGCGGCUAGACCUGCGGAGGGAUCAUUACCGAGUUUACAACUCCCAAACCCAUGUGAACAUACCUAUCGUUGCUUCGGCGGGAUCGCCCCGGGCGCCUCGUGUGCCCCGGAUCCGGCGCCCGCCUAGGAACCUUAACUCUUGUUUUAUUUUGGAAUCUUCUGAGUAGUUUUUACAAAUAAAUAAAAACUUUCAACAACGGAUCU